CAGUCGCCGCGGGAAUACGAAGGGUGCAAGCGUUACUCGGAAUUACUGGGCGUAAAGCGUGCGUAGGUGGUGGUUUAAGUCCGUUGUGAAAGCCCUGGGCUCAACCUGGGAAUUGCAGUGGAUACUGGAUCACUAGAGUGUGGUAGAGGAUAGUGGAAUUUCCGGUGUAGCAGUGAAAUACGUAGAGAUCGGAAGGAACAUCUGUGGCGAAGGCGACUAUCUGGGCCAACACUGACACUGAGGCACGAAAGCGUGGGGAGCAAACAGGAUUAGAUACCCCUGUAGUCCCUGUCUCUUAUAC
This 301-nucleotide ribosomal RNA is filed under the name uncultured bacterium. RNAcentral describes it as "partial 16S ribosomal RNA". It matches the Rfam family "Bacterial small subunit ribosomal RNA", at positions 509 to 807 of the family's 1533-position model. The record is from RNAcentral.